GCCCUAAACCUCAGUAGUUAAACAACAAAACUACUCGCCAGAAUACUACGAGCAACGGCUUAAAACUCAAAGGACUUGACGGUGCUUUACAUCCCCCUAGAGGAGCCUGUUUCAUAAUCGAUAAACCCCGAUCUACCCUACCCUCUCUUGCUCAGCCUAUAUACCGCCAUCUUCAGCAAACCCUGAUAAAGGUCACAAAGUGAGCGCAAACGCCUCCCCGCAAAAACGUUAGGUCAAGGUGUAGCCCAUGAGACGGUAAAAAAUGGGCUACAUUUUCUGUAUCAGAAAACUCCACGAAAACUCUUAUGAAAUUUAAGAGUCCAAGGAGGAUUUAGCAGUAAAUUAAGAAUAGAGUGCUUAGUUGAACGAGGCCAUAAAGCGCGCACACACCGCCCGUCACUCCCCUCAAAUAUAUUUAAGGAACGUCUUAACUAAACACCCCAAUAUCUAUAUAGAGGGGAUAAGUCGUAACAUGGUAAGUGUACUGGAAGGUGCACUUGGAUAAAU
Molecule: ribosomal RNA, 507 nt
Filed under: Macaca siberu (Siberut macaque)
Lineage: Eukaryota; Metazoa; Chordata; Mammalia; Primates; Cercopithecidae
Description: partial 12S ribosomal RNA
Rfam family: Bacterial small subunit ribosomal RNA
Source: RNAcentral